UACGGAGGGGGCUAGCGUUGUUCGGAAUUACUGGGCGUAAAGCGCACGUAGGCGGAUAUUCGAGUCGGGGGUGAAAUCCCGGGGCUCAACCCCGGAACUGCCUUCGAUACUGGAUGUCUAGAGGUCUGGAGAGGUGAGUGGAAUUCCGAGUGUAGAGGUGAAAUUCGUAGAUAUUCGGAGGAACACCAGUGGCGAAGGCGGCUCACUGGCCAGAUACUGACGCUGAGGUGCGAAAGCGUGGGGAGCAAACAGG
This 253-nucleotide ribosomal RNA is filed under the name uncultured bacterium. RNAcentral describes it as "partial 16S ribosomal RNA". It matches the Rfam family "Bacterial small subunit ribosomal RNA", at positions 524 to 776 of the family's 1533-position model. The record is from RNAcentral.